UACAGAGGGGGCAAGCGUUGUUCGGAAUUACUGGGCGUAAAGGGCGCGUAGGCGGCCCGCUAAGUCGAACGUGAAAUCCCCAGGCUCAACCUGGGAACUGCGUCCGAUACUGGCAGGCUUGAAUCCGGGAGAGGGAUGUGGAAUUCCAGGUGUAGCGGUGAAAUGCGUAGAUAUCUGGAGGAACACCGGUGGCGAAGGCGGCAUCCUGGACCGGCAUUGACGCUGAGGCGCGAAAGCGAGGGGAGCAAACGGG
This 253-nucleotide ribosomal RNA is filed under the name uncultured bacterium. RNAcentral describes it as "partial 16S ribosomal RNA". It matches the Rfam family "Bacterial small subunit ribosomal RNA", at positions 524 to 776 of the family's 1533-position model. The record is from RNAcentral.